Molecule: non-coding RNA, 87 nt
Filed under: Pseudomonas tolaasii NCPPB 2192
Lineage: Bacteria; Pseudomonadati; Pseudomonadota; Gammaproteobacteria; Pseudomonadales; Pseudomonadaceae
Source: RNAcentral
GUGGGAGCUGGCUUGCCUGCGAUAGCGGAGUGUUAGCCAGAAUAUCCGGUACUGAUACACCGCCAUCGCAGGCAAGCCAGCUCCCAC